RNAcentral lists this ribosomal RNA (585 nucleotides) under uncultured bacterium. RNAcentral's name for it is "bacterial SSU rRNA". It matches the Rfam family "Bacterial small subunit ribosomal RNA", at positions 338 to 916 of the family's 1533-position model. The record is from RNAcentral.
CCUACGGGAGGCAGCAGUGGGGAAUUUUGGACAAUGGGCGCAAGCCUGAUCCAGCCAUGCCGCGUGAGUGAAGAAGGCCUUCGGGUUGUAAAGCUCUUUCGGCGGGGAAGAAAAGGUUCGUGCUAAUACCACGAACUAAUGACGGUACCCGAAGAAGAAGCACCGGCUAACUACGUGCCAGCAGCCGCGGUAAUACGUAGGGUGCAGGCGUUAAUCGGAAUUACUGGGCGUAAAGCGUGCGCAGGCGGUUUGUUAAGACAGAUGUGAAAUCCCCGGGCUUAACCUGGGAACUGCGUUUGUAACUGGCAAGCUAGAGUGUGGCAGAGGGGGGUGGAAUUCCAAGUGUAGCAGUGAAAUGCGUAGAUAUUUGGAGGAACACCGAUGGCGAAGGCAGCCCCCUGGGCUAACACUGACGCUCAUGCACGAAAGCGUGGGGAGCAAACAGGAUUAGAUACCCUGGUAGUCCACGCCCUAAACUAUGUCAACUGGUUGUCGGGGAAGCAAUUCCUUGGUAACGAAGCUAACGCGUGAAGUUGACCGCCUGGGGAGUACGGCCGCAAGGUUAAAACUUAAAUGAAUUGACGG